GCCGGACUGGCGGAAUAGGCAGACGCGAUGGAUUCAAAAUCCAUUGCCCGCAAGGGCGUCCCGGUUCGACUCCGGGGUUCGGUA
This 84-nucleotide transfer RNA is filed under the name Planctomycetia bacterium. RNAcentral describes it as "tRNA-Leu". It matches the Rfam family "tRNA". Rfam says of the family: Transfer RNA (tRNA) molecules are approximately 80 nucleotides in length. RNAcentral also lists the same sequence under 2 other names. The record is from RNAcentral. Lineage: Bacteria; Pseudomonadati; Planctomycetota; Planctomycetia.